This 544-nucleotide ribosomal RNA is filed under the name uncultured bacterium. RNAcentral's name for it is "partial 16S ribosomal RNA". It matches the Rfam family "Bacterial small subunit ribosomal RNA", at positions 355 to 889 of the family's 1533-position model. The record is from RNAcentral.
UGGGGAAUUUUGGACAAUGGGGGAAACCCUGAUCCAGCCAUCCCGCGUGUGCGAUGAAGGCCUUCGGGUUGUAAAGCACUUUUGGCAGGAAAGAAACGUCGCGGGUUAAUACCCCGCGAAACUGACGGUACCUGCAGAAUAAGCACCGGCUAACUACGUGCCAGCAGCCGCGGUAAUACGUAGGGUGCAAGCGUUAAUCGGAAUUACUGGGCGUAAAGCGUGCGCAGGCGGUUCGGAAAGAAAGAUGUGAAAUCCCAGAGCUUAACUUUGGGAACUGCAUUUUUUAACUACCGGGCUAGAGUGUGUCAGAGGGAGGUGGAAUUCCGCGUGUAGCAGUGAAAUGCGUAGGUAUGCGGAGGAACACCGAUGGCGAAGGCAGCCUCCUGGGAUAACACUGACGCUCAUGCACGAAAGCGUGGGGAGCAAACAGGAUUAGAUACCCUGGUAGUCCACGCCCUAAACGAUGUCAACUAGCUGUUGGGGGCCUUCGGGCCUUGGUAGCGCAGCUAACGCGUGAAGUUGACCGCCUGGGGAGUACGGUCGC